GUGCUUAACACAUGCAAGUCGAACGAUGAACCGGUUUCGGCCGGGGAUUAGUGGCGAACGGGUGAGUAACACGUGGGCAAUCUGCCCUGCACUCUGGGAUAAGCCCGGGAAACUGGGUCUAAUACCGGAUACGACACAUGAGCGCAUGCUCGUGUGUGGAAAGUUCCGGCGGUGCAGGAUGAGCCCGCGGCCUAUCAGUUUGUUGGUGGGGUAGUGGCCUACCAAGACGACGACGGGUAGCCGGCCUGAGAGGGUGACCGGCCACACUGGGACUGAGACACGGCCCAGACUCCUACGGGAGGCAGCAGUGGGGAAUAUUGCACAAUGGGCGAAAGCCUGAUGCAGCGACGCCGCGUGAGGGAUGACGGCCUUCGGGUUGUAAACCUCUUUCAGCAGGGAAGAAGCGAAAGUGACGGUACCUGCAGAAGAAGCACCGGCUAACUACGUGCCAGCAGCCGCGGUAAUACGUAGGGUGCAAGCGUUGUCCGGAAUUAUUGGGCGUAAAGAGCUCGUAGGCGGCCUGUCGCGUCGAUUGUGAAAGCCCAGGGCUUAACCCUGGGUCUGCAGUCGAUACGGGCAGGCUAGAGUUCGGUAGGGGAGAUCGGAAUUCCUGGUGUAGCGGUGAAAUGCGCAGAUAUCAGGAGGAACACCGGUGGCGAAGGCGGAUCUC
Molecule: ribosomal RNA, 670 nt
Filed under: Streptomyces sp. Sp080513SC-28
Lineage: Bacteria; Bacillati; Actinomycetota; Actinomycetes; Kitasatosporales; Streptomycetaceae
Description: bacterial SSU rRNA
Rfam family: Bacterial small subunit ribosomal RNA
Source: RNAcentral